This 404-nucleotide ribosomal RNA is filed under the name Actinomycetes bacterium. RNAcentral describes it as "Actinobacteria bacterium partial 16S ribosomal RNA". It matches the Rfam family "Bacterial small subunit ribosomal RNA", at positions 355 to 776 of the family's 1533-position model. The record is from RNAcentral. Lineage: Bacteria; Bacillati; Actinomycetota; Actinomycetes.
UGGGGAAUAUUGGACAAUGGGCGCAAGCCUGAUCCAGCCAUGCCGCGUGAGUGAUGAAGGCCUUAGGGUUGUAAAGCUCUUUAGUCCGGGAAGAUAAUGACUGUACCGGAAGAAUAAGCCCCGGCUAACUUCGUGCCAGCAGCCGCGGUAAUACGAAGGGGGCUAGCGUUGCUCGGAAUCACUGGGCGUAAAGGGCGCGUAGGCGGACUUUUAAGUCGGGGGUGAAAGCCCAGGGCUCAACCCUGGAAUUGCCUUCGAUACUGGGAGUCUUGAGUUCGGAAGAGGUUGGUGGAACUGCGGGUGUAGAGGUGAAAUUCGUAGAUAUUCGCAAGAACACCGGUGGCGAAGGCGGCCAACUGGUCCGAAACUGACGCUGAGACGCGAAAGCGAGGGGAGCAAACAGG